This is a long non-coding RNA of Passer domesticus (house sparrow), 704 nucleotides long. RefSeq lists it as uncharacterized. The transcript has 2 exons. The record is from RefSeq and is a predicted model, not a curated record. NCBI's taxonomy places the organism in Eukaryota, Metazoa, Chordata, Aves, Passeriformes, Passeridae.
CCGCGGAACUACUCCCGACGCGCUGACUGGCCGCGGGCCCGCGCCCCGCUGCCGCGCGUGCGCCCCGUGCCGGGUACGUGCGUGCGUGCGUGCGUAUGUAUGCGCGUGCGCGCGCACGCCGCUCCCGCGGGCGGGAGCCGCGGACACGGGGCCUGCCCGCGGUGGCCGCCCCGCCUCCGCCAGCGCCCGCCCGCUGGGACGCCGCGGAUCCCGCUCCAGCCGUGCCUGCGAGGGGCAGGGCUUGGCCGCGAGGGGCGGGGCGGGGCACGCCCCCUGCUUCCAAGGCGGGCUCCCGCCGCGUAGGCGGCGCUGGCGGCUGCAGAGGGGUCGGGCAGCGCCCGCCGCCGCUCUUUGGGGCAUUCCUGCUCGGGUUGGGUGAGCCGAGGCCGGCCCCGGUGGGGGUGUGCGGUGGGGAGCGGCGGGGCCGUGAGCGUGCUGACGGGGAAGGCGCGGUGGGAAGAUAAACUCCUUAUCUGCAGUGGGCUGGGAGAGACUGAUAAGGGGCUACAGCUGUAUAGAGGCAAAGGGCAGCAAGAAGUCGGCAUGCUGGGAGCGAGGUGAUAUGGAGGUGGUGAUGCUGAGGCUGGAAGGUGUAGUGACCAGCGAGCCUUGCUCCGUCGACCGAAGGAGUUACUGUGGCAGCGUGAUGACAACAACAGACCACGAGCAGCUCUCAAAGCCUGUUAAAUAAAUACAUGAAAUGA